This 69-nucleotide transfer RNA is filed under the name Halaelurus buergeri (blackspotted catshark). RNAcentral describes it as "tRNA-Tyr". It matches the Rfam family "tRNA". Rfam says of the family: Transfer RNA (tRNA) molecules are approximately 80 nucleotides in length. Their secondary structure includes four short double-helical elements and three loops (D, anti-codon, and T loops). Further hydrogen bonds mediate the characteristic L-shaped molecular structure. tRNAs have two regions of fundamental functional importance: the anti-codon, which is responsible for specific mRNA codon recognition, and the 3' end, to which the tRNAs corresponding amino acid is attached (by aminoacyl-tRNA synthetases). tRNAs cope with the degeneracy of the genetic code in two manners: having more than one tRNA (with a specific anti-codon) for a particular amino acid; and 'wobble' base-pairing, i.e. permitting non-standard base-pairing at the 3rd anti-codon position. The record is from RNAcentral. Lineage: Eukaryota; Metazoa; Chordata; Chondrichthyes; Carcharhiniformes; Scyliorhinidae.
GGUAAGAUGGCUGAGAGUUAGGCGGCGGAUUGUAGCUCCGCCCACAGAGGCUAAUACCUCUUCUUAUCA